CCUCGAUGACCGGCAGCCCCGUCUCCGACAGCAUGUCGAUGAAGCGGAUUUUCACCUCCGUGGGGACGACGGCCUGCGGAGGAGAGAGGCUGUAGGAAAAACGAGAUGAUUAUCAAAUGGGUAAUUUCCACUGCUGGGGCGGAAUAUGGAAGUUUUGUAACAGCUCACAGCAGCACGACACAGCAAUCUAGUACAAAGAGUAACUUCCCUGAGUGAAACUGCGAGAGGAUUUUAAGCAGGUAGAUUGAUUUGAGCUGGGACUUGGGUAGCAUCCUGGGGCAGACAGCCCGGUUCAUCUUUUCACCAGUUCUGGGAGCUCUUUAAUGACUACAAGGGAUCAGGACCUGCAUUUUACAUGGUCUAUUUUAAACCUUCCCAACAUGCUAGUCCAGUACCUGGGACUUCGUCCAGCUAUUUGGGGGCCACAAGGUAGAUCUUGAAAUAUUUAAUCUUCACUAAGAAUAUUUUGGACACAUGAAGAAGUCUGAUUUUUUUUCCUUGCCCAUUAUGGUUUUAAUGGUUGCUUGCAUUAAAAUUGUAUUGCUUUUUGGGUAAUCCCUUGUGCUGAAAAUGAAUUAUAAAUGCUUCAGAUUUUCUUUUCA
Alligator mississippiensis (American alligator) is the source of this 602-nucleotide long non-coding RNA. RefSeq lists it as uncharacterized. NCBI's taxonomy places the organism in Eukaryota, Metazoa, Chordata, Crocodylia, Alligatoridae. The record is from RefSeq and is a predicted model, not a curated record. The transcript has 2 exons.